Piliocolobus tephrosceles (Ugandan red Colobus) is the source of this 113-nucleotide small nuclear RNA. Its record names the gene U5. It matches the Rfam family "U5 spliceosomal RNA". Rfam says of the family: U5 RNA is a component of both types of known spliceosome. The precise function of this molecule is unknown, though it is known that the 5' loop is required for splice site selection and p220 binding, and that both the 3' stem-loop and the Sm site are important for Sm protein binding and cap methylation. The record is from Ensembl. NCBI's taxonomy places the organism in Eukaryota, Metazoa, Chordata, Mammalia, Primates, Cercopithecidae.
AUACUCUGGUUUCUCUUCAGAUCAUAUACAUCUUUUGUCUUUUACUAAAGAUUUCCGUGGAAAGGAACAAUUCUGAGUUUCUGACUAAGUUUUGUUUUGAGACGGAGUCUUGC